Molecule: ribosomal RNA, 463 nt
Filed under: Vreelandella stevensii
Lineage: Bacteria; Pseudomonadati; Pseudomonadota; Gammaproteobacteria; Oceanospirillales; Halomonadaceae
Description: partial 16S ribosomal RNA
Rfam family: Bacterial small subunit ribosomal RNA
Source: RNAcentral
CCUACGGGGGGCAGCAGUGGGGAAUAUUGGACAAUGGGCGAAAGCCUGAUCCAGCCAUGCCGCGUGUGUGAAGAAGGCCUUCGGGUUGUAAAGCACUUUCAGUGGGGAAGAAAGCCUUGGGGCUAAUACCCUCGAGGAAGGACAUCACCCACAGAAGAAGCACCGGCUAACUCCGUGCCAGCAGCCGCGGUAAUACGGAGGGUGCGAGCGUUAAUCGGAAUUACUGGGCGUAAAGCGCGCGUAGGCGGUCUGAUAAGCCGGUUGUGAAAGCCCCGGGCUCAACCUGGGAACGGCAUCCGGAACUGUCAGGCUAGAGUGCAGGAGAGGAAGGUAGAAUUCCCGGUGUAGCGGUGAAAUGCGUAGAGAUCGGGAGGAAUACCAGUGGCGAAGGCGGCCUUCUGGACUGACACUGACGCUGAGGUGCGAAAGCGUGGGUAGCAAACAGGAUUAGAUACCCCAGAGU